AGACGAACCGCGCGAACGUUAUUCGGAAUCACUGGGCUUAAAGCGCGUGUAGGCGGAUCGGAACGUCGGAUCCUGAAAGCCCCCGGCUCAACCGGGGAAGCGGGGCCGAAACGACCGGUCUGGAGGGACGCAGGGGGAUCUGGAACUUCCGGUGGAGCGGUGAAAUGCGUUGAGAUCGGAAGGAACGCCGGCGGCGAAAGCGAGAUCCUGGACGUCUACUGACGCUGAGACGCGAAAGCUGGGGGAGCGAACGGGAUUAGAUACCCCGGUAGUCCCAGCCGUAAACGAUGAGCACUGGGCAGGGGGCCCUCCGACGGGCUCCCCGCCGCAGGGAAACCGUGAAGUGCUCCGCCUGGGGAGUAUGGCCGCAAGGCUGAA
This 378-nucleotide ribosomal RNA is filed under the name uncultured bacterium. RNAcentral describes it as "bacterial SSU rRNA". It matches the Rfam family "Bacterial small subunit ribosomal RNA", at positions 523 to 898 of the family's 1533-position model. The record is from RNAcentral.